RNAcentral lists this ribosomal RNA (220 nucleotides) under Staphylococcus aureus. RNAcentral describes it as "partial 16S ribosomal RNA". It matches the Rfam family "Bacterial small subunit ribosomal RNA", at positions 1 to 215 of the family's 1533-position model. Lineage: Bacteria; Bacillati; Bacillota; Bacilli; Caryophanales; Staphylococcaceae. The record is from RNAcentral.
UUUAUGGAGAGUUUGAUCCUGGCUCAGGAUGAACGCUGGCGGCGUGCCUAAUACAUGCAAGUCGAGCGAACGGACGAGAAGCUUGUUUCUCUGAUGUUAGCGGCGGACGGGUGAGUAACACGUGGAUAACCUACCUAUAAGACUGGGAUAACUUCGGGAAACCGGAGCUAAUACCGGAUAAUAUUUUGAACCGCAUGGUUCAAAAGUGAAAGACGGUCUU